GGAGGGGUGGCCGAGCGGUUUAUGGCGCUGGUCUUGAAAACCAGUGGGCUAAACACCCUCGGGGGUUCGAAUCCCCCCCCCUCCGCCA
RNAcentral lists this transfer RNA (88 nucleotides) under candidate division WWE3 bacterium CG_4_10_14_0_2_um_filter_41_14. Its description in RNAcentral is "tRNA-Ser". It matches the Rfam family "tRNA". Rfam says of the family: Transfer RNA (tRNA) molecules are approximately 80 nucleotides in length. Their secondary structure includes four short double-helical elements and three loops (D, anti-codon, and T loops). Lineage: Bacteria; candidate division WWE3. The record is from RNAcentral. RNAcentral also lists the same sequence under 1 other name.